GGCCUUGACAUGCAGAGAACUUUCCAGAGAUGGAUUGGUGCCUUCGGGAACUCUGACACAGGUGCUGCAUGGCUGUCGUCAGCUCGUGUCGUGAGAUGUUGGGUUAAGUCCCGUAACGAGCGCAACCCUUGUCCUUAGUUACCAGCACGUUAUGGUGGGCACUCUAAGGAGACUGCCGGUGACAAACCGGAGGAAGGCGGGGAUGACGUCAAGUCAUCAUGGCCCUUACGGCCUGGGCUACACACGUGCUACAAUGGUCGGUACAAAGGGUUGCCAAGCCGCGAGGUGGAGCUAAUCCCAUAAAACCGAUCGUAGUCCGGAUCGCAGUCUGCAACUCGACUGCGUGAAGUCGGAAUCGCUAGUAAUCGUGAAUCAGAAUGUCACGGUGAAUACGUUCCCGGGCCUU
This 406-nucleotide ribosomal RNA is filed under the name uncultured Pseudomonas sp. Its description in RNAcentral is "bacterial SSU rRNA". It matches the Rfam family "Bacterial small subunit ribosomal RNA", at positions 977 to 1382 of the family's 1533-position model. The record is from RNAcentral. Lineage: Bacteria; Pseudomonadati; Pseudomonadota; Gammaproteobacteria; Pseudomonadales; Pseudomonadaceae.